UACGAAGGUCCCAAGCGUUAUCCGGAUUUAUUGGGUUUAAAGGGUGCGUAGGUGGCCCUGUAAGUCAGUGGUGAAAUAUCUCAGCUUAACUGAGAGGGUGCCAUUGAUACUGCAGGGCUUGAGUACAGAUGAGGUAGGCGGAAUUGACGGUGUAGCGGUGAAAUGCAUAGAUAUCGUCAAGAACACCGAUAGCGAAGGCAGCUUACCAAGCUGUAACUGACACUGAGGCACGAAAGUGUGGGGAUCAAACAGG
This 253-nucleotide ribosomal RNA is filed under the name uncultured bacterium. Its description in RNAcentral is "partial 16S ribosomal RNA". It matches the Rfam family "Bacterial small subunit ribosomal RNA", at positions 524 to 776 of the family's 1533-position model. The record is from RNAcentral.